Molecule: ribosomal RNA, 375 nt
Filed under: uncultured organism
Description: partial 16S ribosomal RNA
Rfam family: Bacterial small subunit ribosomal RNA
Source: RNAcentral
GUAGGUGGCAAGCGUUGUCCGGAAUUAUUGGGGCGUAAAGCGCGCGCAGGCGGUUCUUUAAGUCUGAUGUGAAAGCCCACGGGCUCAACCGUGGAGGGUCAUUGGAAACUGGAGAACUUGAGUACAGAAGAGGAAAGCGGAAUUCCACGUGUAGCGGUGAAAUGCGUAGAGAUGUGAAGGAACACCAGUGGCGAAGGCGGCUUUCUGGUCUGUAACUGACGCUGAGGCGCGAAAGCGUGGGGAGCAAACAGGAUUAGAUACCCUGGUAGUCCACGCCGUAAACGAUGAGUGCUAAGUGUUAGGGGGGUUUCCGCCCCUUAGUGCUGCAGCUAACGCAUUAAGCACUCCGCCUGGGGAGUACGGCCGCAAAGGCUG